This 301-nucleotide ribosomal RNA is filed under the name uncultured bacterium. Its description in RNAcentral is "partial 16S ribosomal RNA". It matches the Rfam family "Bacterial small subunit ribosomal RNA", at positions 509 to 807 of the family's 1533-position model. The record is from RNAcentral.
CAGCAGCCGCGGGAAUACGAAGGGUGCAAGCGUUAAUCGGAAUUACUGGGCGUAAAGCGCGCGUAGGUGGUUCAUUAAGUUGGAUGUGAAAGCCCUGGGCUCAACCUGGGAACUGCAUCCAAAACUGGUGAGCUAGAGUACGGUAGAGGGUAGUGGAAUUUCCUGUGUAGCGGUGAAAUGCGUAGAUAUAGGAAGGAACACCAGUGGCGAAGGCGACUACCUGGACUGAUACUGACACUGAGGUGCGAAAGCGUGGGGAGCAAACAGGAUUAGAUACCCGGGUAGUCCCUGUCUCUUAUAC